This 447-nucleotide unclassified non-coding RNA is filed under the name rhizosphere metagenome. Its description in RNAcentral is "partial ribosomal RNA internal transcribed spacer region". The record is from RNAcentral.
UUCCACGCGGUGCACCCGCUGAAGCCUCCCGCAGCGACUCUAAACAAACGCGUCAGUCCGCUUCGCGGGCGACACCACGAUCCUACUGGGACUUCUGUAGCCGUCUCCGACGGUGCCGAUACCAGUGGCCUGUGCGACAGGUUCACAGAUCAAACAGUGGUGGCCAUCGUCUGGUUAAGAUAUGACCGGUCUCCGCUGUAGCCAGCCGGAGAAGCCACGUUCCGUAGGUGAACCUGCGGAAGGAUCAUUACAGAGUUAGGGUCUUCCAGGCCCGACCUCCAACCCUAUGUGUACCUACCUUUGUUGCUUUGGCGGGCCCGCUGGGGUGACCCACCGGCGGCCUUCGGCUCUCGAGUGCCCGUCAGAGACCCAUCAAAACCUGUUAACUGUGUCGUCUGAGUACCAACAUAAUAAUUAAAACUUUCAACAACGGAUCUCUUGGUUCUG